Long non-coding RNA from Sinocyclocheilus anshuiensis, 411 nucleotides. RefSeq lists it as uncharacterized. The transcript is spliced from 3 exons. NCBI's taxonomy places the organism in Eukaryota, Metazoa, Chordata, Actinopteri, Cypriniformes, Cyprinidae. The record is from RefSeq and is a predicted model, not a curated record.
GAGUUGCAACGCUUAGAAGGCAUUGAAGAAUUGGAGAGCACCAUGGCUGCCUCUGAAGCUCUAGAGAACAACCUGAUGAGCAGAAGCUGACGGUGGAGUGUCAGGCUCAUUGACUCUCUCGCUGCAGGACCCAGUGCUUUAAUAGCCUCUGAUGGCAUGACACCAGAUUCCAGACUCUGACCUCCCACAGGCAGCAGCACUCUCCACUGCAGUCAUGCCCAGUGGGGGCCACGCGUAUCACACGCACACAGAGCUCACUCAGACACCGCAAACUGCAGGGAUCAGGGAUGGCUGUCUUCAUGAGGAGAGAAAGGAAGGUCAAAGAAGUGUUCACUGAGACGUUGUCUUUGGUCCCUUGAACUGAAGUGGCGUCCAGAUACAGCUGCCUCAGCCGUCCCUCCCCCUCUGUCC